Molecule: ribosomal RNA, 492 nt
Filed under: uncultured bacterium
Lineage: Bacteria
Description: partial 16S ribosomal RNA
Rfam family: Bacterial small subunit ribosomal RNA
Source: RNAcentral
AGUGAACGCUGGCGGUAGGCCUAACACAUGCAAGUCGAACGGCAGCACAGUAAGAGCUUGCUCUUACGGGUGGCGAGUGGCGGGCGGGUGAGGAAUACAUCGGAAUCUACUUUUUCGUGGGGGAUAACGUAGGGAAACUUACGCUAAUACCGCAUACGACCUACGGGUGAAAGCAGGGGAUCUUCGGACCUUGCGCGAUUGAAUGAGCCGAUGUCGGAUUAGCUAGUUGGCGGGGUAAAGGCCCACCAAGGCGACGAUCCGUAGCUGGUCUGAGAGGAUGAUCAGCCACUCUGGAACUGAGACACGGUCCAGACUCCUACGGGAGGCAGCAGUGGGGAAUAUUGGACAAUGGGCGCAAGCCUGAUCCAGCCAUACCGCGUGGGUGAAGAAGGCCUUCGGGUUGUAAAGCCCUUUUGUUGGGAAAGAAAAGCAGCAGGUUAAUACCCCGCUGUUCUGACGGUACCCAAAGAAUAAGCACCGGCUAACUUCGUG